UUCUCUUUCUAAUCAUCUUCUUAUGUUAGAAUCUUCAUUGUUGAUGAAGAUUUACACUAUUGUAAAUUAAAUACAUUUGUUAGUGUUUGGUUGGUUCCAUAGGAAGGUGCUUCAAGUCAUGUUUGAGUUUGUCUUAAAAAUUAGACUUUCUAAUAAUGCUGUCAGGUAUAAUGACAUUGCCAAGUUUGGGUAUGCUGCAAUGCGAUGAUCCAAGUUCACAGGAUAGAAAGAAUCAAGCCAAAGCAAUUCUCCAACUUCACAAAAUGCUAGUCAUGUGAAAAGACUAGCUGGCCUGGGAGGGUUGUAGUGAAAUAUUUGUGGAGAAUACAAAGGGUUCCACAUCC
Arachis ipaensis is the source of this 344-nucleotide non-coding RNA. Lineage: Eukaryota; Viridiplantae; Streptophyta; Magnoliopsida; Fabales; Fabaceae. The record is from RefSeq and is a predicted model, not a curated record.